Molecule: long non-coding RNA, 1079 nt
Filed under: Piliocolobus tephrosceles (Ugandan red Colobus)
Lineage: Eukaryota; Metazoa; Chordata; Mammalia; Primates; Cercopithecidae
Description: lncRNA (ENSPTEG00000039772.1)
Source: RNAcentral
UGUUGUAUAGUUAUUUUUGUUUUAUUAUUACUAUUACAUUAAGUUAAUUUAACAUGCAUUUAUAGAGGAAUACAUUCAAAGCACUGAUGUAGGAGAUAGAUACACGGUACUUGGAGCAGUCAGCCAAAAAUCACAGAUACUGCUUUCACUGAAAUGGAAACAAUUCUCCAACAAUGCUUUGCUAUUUUUCUUAUGUCACUGUUGCAUACUAUCUAUUUUUCUCCUCUCUGGGACCAAGUUUCUUUUUAUAAAGCAAUAAUAUCUCUGUUUUCCUUUUAGUACAUUGUGCUCUCUGUCAGCAUAUGUAUAUUAGCUACAAAAUAUAUUCAACUUUGACUUCUUUUGACAAUGUGCUUUAGGAAAAAGAGAAACAAAGACAUUAUUUGAGAAUUAAAUUAUAUAUUUUUAAUAUGACUGAUGACCUUGACUGAUAAUAAAGAUGUAAUAAGAAUUGCAAGCUAAAUGUUUCCCUUUGCAACUCAUGUUUUGUGUUUUGUUUUGCUGACAACUCAUAAUGUUUUGUAAAGCCCUUCAGAGAGAAGACAGAUGCAUGCAUCAUCCUGGCCUCCAUCAAAUAACAGUAUCCACGGUGGCACCUCUUCUGCAAUGUUUAACCCUGGUAGUCAUGAGCGAUGAUUUAAUUCGGAUAUUUCAGAACUUUUUGUUUAUCCCAUCAGGAGAGAAUACAGCAGUUUCAAGGACAAGGGAUUCGUACCACUGCUCCUCACUCAAUAAACAGCAGAGGCAGAAUUUGAACGUGAGUCUGACUGAUUCCAAAACCGAUAUAAUAUCCCUGCAUUGAAACAAAGAAAGAUCCAGGGAAAGUGCACACAGCUUAGAGACUAUUGGAUAGGGGUCUGAUGCAGUCUUUCCCAAAUUUCCUCACAAAUUUACAGUUGAAAUAUCAGGCAGAGAAAUGAUAAGCAGGUGGAAGACCCCUAAUGGGACAUCAUCGCAUCACAGCUCUGUGAUCAUCGAUCAUGAUCGCUAGAGGGUGACCUAGAGGAGUCCUACAAUAGGCUUUCUUGGGUUUUCUGACAGGUAUAGUACUGAGAAAAUUUGCUAUGGUUAGCUAUGGA